ACUCCUACGGGAGGCAGCAGUGGGGAAUAUUGCACAAUGGGCGCAAGCCUGAUGCAGCCAUGCCGCGUGUAUGAAGAAGGCCUUCGGGUUGUAAAGUACUUUCAGCAGUGAGGAAGGGUAGUAGUAGUUAAUAGCUGCUAUUAUUUGACGUUAGCUAGAGAAGAAGCGACCGCUAACUCCGUGCCAGCAGCCGCGGUAAUACGGAGGGUGCGAGCGUUAAUCGGAAUUACUGGGCGUAAAGCGUCU
This 246-nucleotide ribosomal RNA is filed under the name uncultured bacterium. RNAcentral describes it as "partial 16S ribosomal RNA". It matches the Rfam family "Bacterial small subunit ribosomal RNA", at positions 335 to 570 of the family's 1533-position model. The record is from RNAcentral.